This 818-nucleotide ribosomal RNA is filed under the name uncultured bacterium. Its description in RNAcentral is "bacterial SSU rRNA". It matches the Rfam family "Bacterial small subunit ribosomal RNA", at positions 56 to 882 of the family's 1533-position model. The record is from RNAcentral.
UGCAAGUCGAACGGGACCAGGGGCAACUCUGGUUCAGUGGCGGACGGGUGCGUAACACGUGAGGAACAUGACCUUCGGCGGGGGAUAGCCGGCCCAACGGCCGGGUAAUACCGCGUACGACCACUCUGGGACAUCCCUAGGUGGUGAAAGCAGCAAUGCGCCGAUGGAGUGCCUCGCGGCCUAUCAGCUAGUUGGUGAGGUAAUGGCUCACCAAGGCGACGACGGGUAGCUGGUCUGAGAGGAUGGCCAGCCACAUUGGGACUGAGACACGGCCCAGACUCCUACGGGAGGCAGCAGUGGGGAAUAUUGCGCAAUGGACGAAAGUCUGACGCAGCGACGCCGCGUGUGGGAUGACGGUCUUCGGAUUGUAAACCACUGUCGGGAGGGACGAAUACGCCGCAAGGCGGGUGACGGUACCUCCAAAGGAAGCACCGGCUAACUCCGUGCCAGCAGCCGCGGUAAUACGGAGGGUGCGAGCGUUGUCCGGAAUCACUGGGCGUAAAGGGCGCGUAGGCGGCCUGAUAAGUAGGGGGUGAAAUCUUGCGGCUUAACCGCAAGGCUGCCUUCUAAACUGUCAGGCUCGAGCACAGUAGAGGCAGGUGGAAUUCCCGGUGUAGCGGUGGGAAUGCGUAGAGAUCGGGAAGAACAUCAGUGGCGAAGGCGGCCUGCUGGGCUGUUGCUGACGCUGAGGCGCGACAGCGUGGGGAGCAAACAGGAUUAGAUACCCUGGUAGUCCACGCCGUAAACGAUGGGCACUANCGUCGGGGGGAGCGACCCUCCCGGNGCGUCGCUACGCAGUAGUGCCCGCCUGGGGAGUA